UGGAACAGUGUCUGCAGAAAUUUGAAGAAAUUAAAGAAACAAGUGUAUGUGUGGAAAAGUAGUUCAUUUGUAGCCAUGCAAUCUAUGACAAGGAACCAGGCUAUAUCUGGAGGAAUGUACAAAAAGAUACCCCACAGGGUAAGAGACAGCAAUAACUCCAGAGACUAACCAUUGCAGAAGACCCUGAGGUAGGGACUCAGCAAAGAACUUACCACUUCAAACUCUGGCCUGGUUAUCAAAGCAGAAUUCAUCUGUGAACCAGCCUGGCAUCCAAGCUGGACAAUUUUGUGAAGGUUUAUACCGGCCAGGCGCAUUGGAAUCUCUGAUUGGUAUACAAAACUCUCCGGUGUUGUGGAAGGGAAACUCAUAACCAAAUCUGGAACGAGCCUUGGACUUCUGUGUGCUUUCAAUGCAUUGAGAGGGAGCAUUUGAUGGCUCUGAGAAGCUUGAAUCCCUUUAUCGGGAACCUGCAGAAGCUCAGCAAAAAUGGCAGAAGAAGCACAGAAACUCCCAGAACCACCCAGUUACCAUCAAGCCCCACCUUGGUAGAGAAUACAGAUCCUGCUUAAGACUUUUCAGCUGCAUCAGGACCUACAGAAAUCCUUGACUCUGAAGGGCUGCCUAAGAAGAAGGGAAUACACCAGCCUGCUGGAAUCAUUGUCUUUGAUAACCAAACCUGUUUUUUUAAAAUUAAAAAUGCUCAAUUACAAAGAAUGCCCUCACCCCAUGGCUCAGCUCAAGGCCUCUUGCUUCAAAGUAAGAAUGCUGCAAGUUAAGUACCAAAUUUAACUCAAGUGUCUAAUCUGAUACCCUGUUCAGCACUGGGGAAGUGCUGGAGUGUUCCGCUGCGGUACUGAAGGAGAUGUUUAACAGAACUGUCUGCUCUCAGGUGUGUGUAAAAAAUCCAUGGCACUACUUCAGACUCCAGUGGGGGAGGCAUUGCUGGUGUCCUUGCCAGCUGUUAUCCUUCAUUCAACUUUAACGGAAUAGACUAUCUUGUCAUUAGCACAUUGCUGUUAAGGUGACUUCCCUGUGUCUAACUGCCUGCCUGUUGCUUUUACAUAGAACAUUGAACAGUACAACACAGGAAAAGGCCUUCGGCCCAUGAUGUCUGUGCUGACCAUGAUGCCUAUUUAAGCUAA
Long non-coding RNA from Pristis pectinata (smalltooth sawfish), 1142 nucleotides. RefSeq lists it as uncharacterized. The transcript has 3 exons. The record is from RefSeq and is a predicted model, not a curated record. NCBI's taxonomy places the organism in Eukaryota, Metazoa, Chordata, Chondrichthyes, Rhinopristiformes, Pristidae.